UGCGCCGGAGGGUUCGUUCUGCGCAGGCGCACAUUCCGGGGCCGGAUUUUUGAGUGGUGUGCGGUAGUGCUCGGUGACCUCCUGUUUUUGUCUGCCUUCACCUUCAAGAGUCUUUCUUUGACGCAGGAAUUCCAGACUUUUACAUUUAGAUGAGUCCCAGGGUGGUGGUAGUCAUUUAAACAAACAGAGGAAAAAAAACCCUGAAUGCUUGAUGAUCCAUUAUUUCGGUGUUGCUGUUAGAAUGUUACUGCAGUAUUUUGUGUUAACAACGUCUGCCAUUAAGGAUCCCCUGCAAUGGGUAUAAAAGCUGUGAGAGGUGCUGAUAAUAAGUCUUGAGGAGGAUCAGCAGACCCUACAAGGCAACUAACUACCUCAGGAUGGGUCAUUACAGAUUUUACAGGUACCUGCAGGAGCCAUGCUGCAAGUGCUCAUAGGAGCCAAGGUGCUGCACAUGCAUCUGGGCCAGGGCUCAGAGAAACUGAAGAAGGUCCUGGAGUUGCUGAAAGAGUUCCUCACUUGGCCACUGCUCCAC
This is a long non-coding RNA of Neofelis nebulosa (Clouded leopard), 532 nucleotides long. RefSeq lists it as uncharacterized. The record is from RefSeq and is a predicted model, not a curated record. The transcript is spliced from 3 exons. Lineage: Eukaryota; Metazoa; Chordata; Mammalia; Carnivora; Felidae.